GUGCCAGCAGCCGCGGUAAUACGUAGGGUGCGAGCGUUGUCCGGAAUUACUGGGCGUAAAGAGCUCGUAGGUGGUUUGUCGCGUCGUCUGUGAAAUUCCGGGGCUUAACUCCGGGCGUGCAGGCGAUACGGGCAUAACUUGAGUGCUGUAGGGGAGACUGGAAUUCCUGGUGUAGCGGUGAAAUGCGCAGAUAUCAGGAGGAACACCAAUGGCGAAGGCAGGUCUCUGGGCAGUAACUGACGCUGAGGAGCGAAAGCAUGGGUAGCGAACAGGAUUAGAUACCCUGGUAGUCCAUGCCGUAAACGGUGGGCGCUAGGUGUGGGGGUCUUCCACGACUUCUGUGCCGUAGCUAACGCAUUAAGCGCCCCGCCUGGGGAGUACGGCCGCAAGGCUAAAACUCAAAGGAAUUGACGGGGACCCGCACAAGCGGCGGAGCAUGCGGAUUAAUUCGAUGCAACGCGAAGAACCUUACCAAGGCUUGACAUAUACCGGAAAAGGCUGGAAACAGUCUCCCCCUUGUGGUCGGUAUACAGGUGGUGCAUGGUUGUCGUCAGCUCGUGUCGUGAGAUGUUGGGUUAAGUCCCGCAACGAGCGCAACCCUCGUUCUAUGUUGCCAGCACGUUAUGGUGGGAACUCAUGGGAUACUGCCGGGGUCAACUCGGAGGAAGGUGGGGAUGACGUCAAGUCAUCAUGGCCCUUACGAGUAGGGCUACACACGUGCUACAAUGGCGCAUACAAAGAGAAGCGAGCUCGCGAGGGUAAGCGGACCUCAUAAAGUGCGUCGUAGUCCGGAUUGGAGUCUGCAACUCGACUCCAUGAAGUCGGAAUCGCUAGUAAUCGUAGAUCAGAAUGCUACGGUGAAUACGUUCCCGGGCCUUGUACACACCGCCCGU
This 893-nucleotide ribosomal RNA is filed under the name uncultured bacterium. Its description in RNAcentral is "bacterial SSU rRNA". It matches the Rfam family "Bacterial small subunit ribosomal RNA", at positions 505 to 1397 of the family's 1533-position model. The record is from RNAcentral.